This 207-nucleotide non-coding RNA is filed under the name Palpitomonas bilix. The record is from RNAcentral.
UAUGAGACAAACAAAAAGGAAGAAGAACAACAACGGAAAAAGAAAGAAAAGAAGAGGCAAAAUAGGGAAAACUAAGAUAGAAAACAUUUACAAAACACUUUCUGGGUGAUAUCUUGCAUAGAAAGAUUCUAUGGUUCGCAAAGCAAACAACACGUGGUCUUGUGACGUCUCGAGACACUCAUUUGUUGCAAAUUGUGCGAACGAAAU